GAGUUUGAUCAUGGCUCAGAUUGAACGCUGGCGGCAUGCUUUACACAUGCAAGUCGAACGGUAACAGGGAGCUUGCUCCGCUGACGAGUGGCGAACGGGUGAGUAAUGCGUCGGAACGUGCCGAGUAGUGGGGGAUAACACAUUGAAAGGUGUGCUAAUACCGCAUACGUACUGAGGUAGAAAGUGGGGGACCUUCGGGCCUCACGCUAUUCGAGCGGCCGACGUCUGAUUAGCUAGUAGGUGAGGUAAAGGCUCACCUAGGCGACGAUCAGUAGCGGGUCUGAGAGGAUGAUCCGCCACACUGGGACUGAGACACGGCCCAGACUCCUACGGGAGGCAGCAGUGGGGAAUUUUGGACAAUGGGCGCAAGCCUGAUCCAGCCAUGCCGCGUGUCUGAAGAAGGCCUUCGGGUUGUAAAGGACUUUUGUCUG
Molecule: ribosomal RNA, 431 nt
Filed under: uncultured bacterium
Lineage: Bacteria
Description: bacterial SSU rRNA
Rfam family: Bacterial small subunit ribosomal RNA
Source: RNAcentral